Molecule: non-coding RNA, 66 nt
Organism: Dipodomys ordii (Ord's kangaroo rat)
Lineage: Eukaryota; Metazoa; Chordata; Mammalia; Rodentia; Heteromyidae
Source: Rfam
GGUGGCUCAGUGGUAGAGUGCUUGCCUUGCAUGCAUGAGGCCCCUGAGUUCGAUUCCUUAGCACCA